Molecule: ribosomal RNA, 440 nt
Filed under: uncultured bacterium
Lineage: Bacteria
Description: partial 16S ribosomal RNA
Rfam family: Bacterial small subunit ribosomal RNA
Source: RNAcentral
CCUACGGGUGGCUGCAGUGGGGAAUAUUGCACAAUGGGGGAAACCCUGAUGCAGCGACGCCGCGUGAAGGACGAAGUAUUUCGGUACGUAAACUUCUAUCAGCAGGGAAGAAAAUGACGGUACCUGACCAAGAAGCCCCGUCUAACUACGUGCCAGCAGCCGCGGUAAUACGUAGGGGGCAAGCGUUAUCCGGAUUUACUGGGUGUAAAGGGAGCGUAGACGGCCAUGCAAGUCUGAUGUGAAAACCCGGGGCUCAACCCCGGGACUGCUCUGGAAACUGUGUAACUGGAGUGCAGGAGAGGCAGGCGGAAUUCCUAGUGUAGCGGUGAAAUGCGUAGAUAUUAGGAGGAACACCAGUGGCGAAGGCGGCCUGCUGGACUGUAACUGACGUUGAGGCUCGAAAGCGUGGGGAGCAAACAGGAUUAGAUACCCGAGUAGUC